GUCUUCUCUUGCACUCGCAUCUGCAACAUCUCAAAUAUGGUUUCUCGCGUCGUGUUGGUCGUGCUGGUGGUGGUCGCCCUAGCGGCCGCGGCAAUGGCUCUCCCUGACCCCACGAAACGGCACUUGGGAUACGGCUUGUACGGAGGACACGGAGGAUACGGCCUCGGAGGAUUUGGCUUGGGAGGCUACGGAGGCUACGGAGGAUACGGCUAUGGAUCCCACUAUCCUUAUUACGGAUCCUACUACGGAUAGCUGAGUCGACGAAGUUAUGUGAACACCAGUCCAGACUUGUAUUUAUCUCUAAUAAAGCUUUAACUCUA
Molecule: long non-coding RNA, 320 nt
Organism: Penaeus chinensis
Lineage: Eukaryota; Metazoa; Arthropoda; Malacostraca; Decapoda; Penaeidae
Exons: 3
Source: RefSeq, a predicted model, not a curated record